This 82-nucleotide microRNA precursor is filed under the name Trichobilharzia regenti. RNAcentral describes it as "mir-3492 microRNA precursor family". It matches the Rfam family "mir-3492 microRNA precursor family". The record is from Rfam by way of RNAcentral. Lineage: Eukaryota; Metazoa; Platyhelminthes; Trematoda; Strigeidida; Schistosomatidae.
AGCCCUCUGUAUCCAUGAUGAGAUUUCGUCAGAGAUCAACCCGUUGGCACCGGCUGAUGAUACUUCGCAAAUAAGUGAAGCG